RNAcentral lists this microRNA precursor (207 nucleotides) under Oryza brachyantha (malo sina). RNAcentral describes it as "MIR812 microRNA precursor family". It matches the Rfam family "MIR812 microRNA precursor family". The record is from Rfam by way of RNAcentral. Lineage: Eukaryota; Viridiplantae; Streptophyta; Magnoliopsida; Poales; Poaceae.
AACAAAUCAACUUUUCAGUUUUUAGAUACAAUGUUUAACUCUCGUCUUAUUCAAAAAAAAUUUACAAUUAAUAAUUUUAUUUUUUUUAAAUGAUAAAACAUGAAUAGUACCUUAUGUGUGACUAAUUUUUUUAAAAUUUCUUGAAAAUUUUUCAAAUAAAACAGAUGGUCAAAUGCUCGACACAAAAACCGAGAAGUUGGUUUUGUG